GCCAGGAGCGAGCGGCGCGCAGCGAGGACGGUACCAAGUUAAACAGUUACCGCGCUGCCCUCCGCGACCCCGCCGACCUCCGGCGCGCGGUGGGCGGGUGUUAAUGACGUCACGGCCCAAGGGCGUGGGUUAAAUAGUCACCUCCUCCUGGCCUGGAGGAGGGUGGGGUCCGGCGGGGAUGGAGAAGGUUAGGAUUUCACACCAAUAUCGGUCCUCCACGUUCCUGCCCGUGGGGGAACAUCUCUUUUCAGCCCGGCCCCCAGUUCUGCUCAAAGAGGAAAUAAAACUCCCCUCCCGACCGCACUCACAGCCGGACAGUUUCAGAAUGAGUAGGGGCAGCAGGCUGAUAAGAGCCUGAUGUGAACAGGAAGCCAUAACCCCCAGCCCUGGAAAAUAAGGGGCAGGAAUUCGCCUGUCUUUCCUGGGAGUAUCAGAGAAUAGGGGGAGUUUCCUCCCCAAAGUAAAGUGCCUUUCAUUGAACUGAGAAAUUACCUCCCAAGACUAUCCUGGAGCCGACUUCUGUAAGGGGCUAGGAGAAUUUGGAUAAUUUGGGAAGAAGAAUCCACUCAGUGAUGGGGAUAUUCUGUUGCACACCUGGCUAAGCUGUUUGCGAGAGUGAAAAGGGAUUGGAAAUUAAUGUAUUUGUAGUCAUAUAUCAACCAGAUACAUUUCUGGCUGGGCUGGUGAGACUCCCACCUACCUCACUUCUGUGUUUUGGUUCCUGACACACUUGGGCGGAAGGCAGCAUGUUACAACUGGAAAACCCCUGUACAGAGCGUUGUGCCACAGAUGAGCUGUGUGACCCCAGGCCAGGCACUUACCAGAUUUAGUUCUUAAUGGUCUGGAUUAGAUGACUUCUAAGAAGAUACUGUACUUGAUGGCAUUGCAAUAAUUCAUCCUUCCUUCCCUGCUCCUUAAGCUGGAAGCAAAAAGAAUGGAGCAAAGGCGCAUGGACAGUCUUGUUCUAUCCCAUGACAGGAUGAAACAUUGGUGAAGUUGGGACUGUGGAAAGCAGAGAACACGUUUAUUAUUAUUUUUAAAAUAAUGAAAAUGAAUCAAGGAAAAAACAUAUUUUAGAGAAUCUGGAAGUCAAGAUAUGAGGCAUUAAAACAUGAUGUGGAAAGCGAGGGGCCGUUCUCCCUAUUUAAAAUCAACUGUUUAAAAUCACCAUUCUUGGGAGUUCCCAUCGUGGUUCAGCUGAAACGAAUCUGACUAGCAUCCAUGAGGACUCAGGUUGAUCCCUGG
Molecule: long non-coding RNA, 1245 nt
Organism: Sus scrofa (pig)
Lineage: Eukaryota; Metazoa; Chordata; Mammalia; Artiodactyla; Suidae
Source: RefSeq, a predicted model, not a curated record